RNAcentral lists this long non-coding RNA (9022 nucleotides) under Gallus gallus (chicken). Lineage: Eukaryota; Metazoa; Chordata; Aves; Galliformes; Phasianidae. The record is from RNAcentral.
GUGGGGCCAGGAUCCACCCCUUCCCAGGCCUCAUUUAAGGGUUGGCAGUGGAGGAGGGUGCCUCUCUGAAGAUGCCUGCUUAUCUGUAGACCUUCUUAAGGGGAAAGACUGAAUUAAUUCAUCAUUUUGCAUAAGCAUGGAAGAGACCAUCACUAAAAAAGCUUAGAGGAAAGAGAACUAGAAUGAAAGGACAAAAUCAUUUAAAUCAUUUGGGCUCAUCUUCAUAAAAAGAGUACCUGGUAAAUUAACACGGAGCUAUCCCUGACACUGAACAUAAAUGGAAUUCAAUCAGGUUCCAACUUUAAACAGGAGGACUGAGGAGACUUCUUAAAUGAGACAGCCGGAGCCUUUUUACAACAUGUUGUGUUGGUGACUGGAUAGUUCUGGGGACUAAUGAGGAGAUAUAAAAUCACAGUGAAGUUGGUGACCAUUUCUAAUCCAAAGCAAGUGAAGAAAGUGAAUGGUGCCCUGCCUUAGCUUCCUUUAUGUGCUUCCAGUUUUCUGAAAUCAGCCAUGUCUUCUGCAGAUAGGACUGUAACAGCUUGAUGGAUACCUCAGGAUCAGUUUAUACACGAGAAGUUUUCUUCAACAGCUUUCCAGCCCUGAGCAGCACUGGACCAAGCCGUGGUGUUGGUUCUCCAGAGCAGCAGCAGCAGCAGCCCUAGCAGCCAUCCCUUCUCUGAGCGUGGAAGUCUGUGUUUCCUGAAUCAACACACUCAGCACUUGGCUUUUUCUUCCCGCUAUUACUCAGAUCACAGCCCUGAUCACAUCGUGCACUACACACAUCGCUUAUGCUGCUGGUACGUGUUUUGUAGCCACGAGAACAGCAAGCAGACAAUUCACUAAACUUUGUAAUUGAUCACUAAUGGAUGUGGUAAAGUUCUCCACCAGUCUGAGUCCCUAAAUCAGAGCUGGCUGUCUUUCAGAAAGGGAUGGUCAUACUCAGCUAGAAUAGAUUGGGGUGAUGCAGAGAUAAUAGGGCAAAAUAAUGGCACGGCUGCUUCUAUGCAGGAGAUCAGUUUAAAUGCUGGUCUCUUUUAAUCUUACUUUUUUUUUUUCACAAGGAAGGUGGUACAUACGCCCAUCAGCAUACAUGGUAGACUGCAGCUGGGUAUUAACUCUUUCAUUUAUGCAGGGCUGUGCAGCUCUGGGUAGAGCUGUUGUUCUGCCUCCCAAGCACCUGUUCAGGAAAAGAUCUUAAAACACAUUGUUUCAUAUUAAAAAAAAAUAUCAGUCUUUUGCUUCCAGCAUCUGGUGCAGAAGGACAGCCCUGCUCUUCCUUCGCUUACAGAGCAGUUGUGUUACACAGCUUGCUAGGUAAGGACAGGCCAGCACAAUUGUAUUGGUGCCAAGAAUAUUGCUGCUGAUUGAGAUCACUGAACCAUGUCAGAGCUCAGCUGCAUCCAUGUCAGAGAAGCAUGUCUGAGACUAGUUACAGCUAACAAGCCUCUAUUUGACAGGGAAAGUAAAAAAAAAAAGGACCAGAGUGAGAUUUAUGACAAUUUCAAGUACAGAAUAUGCAAUAUGAACAGAUGAGCCCUUAUAAUGUUAAGGUCCGUUUUACAUACAAAUACUUUCUGUGGCUAGAAAAAGAGAAAUUCAGAAAAUAAUAGAAAGAGAUACAACAAACCCUUCUUCAAGUAAAGUUUUUCUGCAUCUCCCAUGGGAUUCUGUUGAAUGGUUGAAGGCAAAAAAAAAAAAAAAAAGGAAGAACAGAAACUGCUUGCAACACAGAGCAAACCUUGAGUGCCAAGAACAUGCUCUGGAUUUUUGUGUAAGAUGUCUGGUUCUUAUCUCAGCCCUGAUUCAUCACAGUUUACUCUCAGAAUUAUUUGGAAUUCAAGGACCUUGCUCCUAUGGUGUUAAUGGGUUAUGUUCAGCACAGAAACCUGUGACACAAAGCAAUGUUUAAUUAUUCAGUCCAGACUGGUUUUUGUGGUUAAAUGAAAUAAAAAUAGCAAGAAGACCAAUUAUAUUGUUUUACAUGACUUACAUUUUGUAGGUGAAAUAUUUUUUCUCUUAACCAUGUAAUCCAGGACUGCACACAGGAAAGAGGAGCCACAUAAAAGAGGGGUUGGGCUGCUUGUGACAUGGAGGUUCAGCCUGCACAUGACUGAAGAGGAGAAGGAAAGCAUUGCCAUAAAAGUGACAGUAGAAGUGAAGAAUUGUGGUGGAUGUGUAAUGCACCACUGAAAGGAGAAAACAUACAAAGCUGGAAAUCUUAUCAUGUCUGGAGUCUUUCUAUUCCAAAGCAGGAUUUGAAGGGAAGAAGCUACAGCCCUUGUUGGCUCACAUCCCUUUCUUCAUAUAUGGGGAAAAAAAAUGUUGAAGCGAUAUGAUUACCAUAAUUGCUACCUCUGUUCAGAAAGACAAGGUGGUUUUCCACCCUGAAUUCAGCUCAGCCAGCCACCAUAGUACCAGUCAGGAACUAAUGCCACAAGCUGCAGCCACAAAUGUAUUGUCUCACACUUCAAAUGCACCAUACAGGAUGCUAAGGCACAUUACAGAUGCAGAAGCGCUGAAGUAUUAUGCAGCAUUCCUGUUACAAGGAAUUUGCAGGUAGCUAACCAACGAUACAGUGUCAAACAAACACUGUCAAAGGUAUGCUGCUCCAAUAGCUAGCAAAGCCAAUUUGAAAUGAUGGUUCUAAACAUGGGUUUUCUAUGAAGGCUCAGGCUUAACAUAUAAUUAUCUGAGCUCUGUUUGGAGGGCAUGCUGUGGCACUAGGUUGGAAAUAGGCAGGUCAAAGAAAUAAACAAGAUCAUUUCAAGCCAAAAUCAUCACCAAAUGCAGUCCUGCUGUGCAAAGGAGAAAUCAUAACAGGAUAAUAACUCCCAAACCUCCUCAGCUGUUGUCUAGCUGCAGCUGCCCAGGGGAUAGGCUCAAGAUAGAGCUCUCCCUGCUGCAAGAGGCACUGAAGCUCUGGUUAAGCAGGUAUCUGUGGUUUGGUAUAAAUUUUAAAGUCAAACUGGCUAAAUGACUUGCUGUAUAGGUAAAGCCUUGCAGUUUUCAUUGCUGUUCUCUUGCCUUCUCGCUCUGCUUUGUUGCAGUAACUGGUCUGCCUUGGUGGAUUUGGUUGUAAGUGGCCAUUCACAGCUGGCUCUAAUUUAAAAAUUCAAGGUGGUGGAGGGGCAGCUUUUAACCCAAAACAUUUUCUGAACUUCUUUAUUUUUUAAGAAGUCUUUCACUUGUAAGGUAUGUAAACUAAAACUGUUUGAAUGACAGAGUUUGGGAACUUUGGAAAGUUUGUGUUUAAGUUCUGUUUCACCUCUGCUUUCCUAUUCUUUUCUCCUCCUGUCUCCCUUUUGUUUUCAAUUGUAUCACUGAAAAGAGGGGCAAUGAGAGGAAAACAAAAUAAUGGAGAAAAUAAUAGAGUAUCAACGUACUACUUUUCCUUUAAAUGCAUGAGGAAGUUGUGAUUAUUUCUCAAUUUAUUUAUUUAUUUAUUUUUCCAAAACAAAGAAAAAAAUAUUAACUGUAUAGCUUUCUUUUUCACCAUGGUAUUUCAUACUGCUUACUGGUGAGAUGAUGGUUAAUAUUUAGAUAACCCAAGAAUGAGGAGACAGUGGUGUGUUCUUAGCAGAAUUAGCAUAAUGGAUGUACGAGGAGGAAAGAUAGAGUGCAGCCAUCGUGUGUUAGGCACAGAAGGGUUAUUGUCUGUGCCCCAAGAAGUAAGGAGUUGUUCUGCAAGUGAUGGUGGAGGAAAGGGAGUUUUGUACUCCCUUUGUGAUACAGAAAGAAAAGCAUUGCUGCGUAAAUGAUAGUCAAAGAGGAAAAGUAAAUUGCGUAUGACAGAGAAGAGUGGAGUAGUGUGACAUAAGUUGGAAAGUGUCCUUUGAAAGUCGAAAAGAAAAAAAAAGAGAGAGAGAAGAGGGACUGUAGUUGUGCAAGUAGGACUGGAAGGCAAGGUUUGCUAUGGGGGAAGAGUAAAAAUAAUAAUAAUAAAAAAAAAGUUGUAUGGCUAAGAAAAGAAGCACAAUUUAUUUCACAACCAAGCACUUGAAAUUUACAGGCAAAACAGUCCCCAUGCACAUGUAGUGCUGUGUCUCUGUAGUUAAAAGGAACACACCAUUUUCAGAAAUAUUUUGAGCAAUAAUUGAGUAAUGAUAUCUGAAAAGAUGCUUGCACAUAAAACCGAGAUCAGGAAGCACAAUAGGUGUACUGAGCUACUAUUCCUUAUUUUUCAUGGUUAGGAUUUCCAGUCUCCCAGCAAUAAGACAGAAGGGUCAUAACUACUUACCUAUAGAGAAGCAGUGAAAGCACAGAUGGAAGAGUUUUGUUGCUCUUGCGACAGAAAGAAGAACUGUUUGGGGCAUUUUCAGUGUCCAUGUCUACGUUCACAUUUCCACACCAUAUUCCACUUCGGCAGUCCUUCUGUAAGAUGUUAGGUAAUGGCAUGGGCUGUGGUGCACUUCAUUGGUUUUGUAUCAUGAGAAAGUAGAAAUAAGACCUUAAAAUAUUAAUUAUUUAUAUAUUUGUUAUGGCAGUACCUGGUUAAAGACUUCCAGUUAUUUGGGAAUUGGUUUGUUUUCAUACAAUGAUCCUGACACCCAGUUACUCAAACAUAUCACGCUCAAACACAGUGCAACACUUGGUACCAGGAACCACAUUUCAGAGGUGAAGCUGGGGUCAGACGCAUUCCUGCUAAUUGUACUGAUUGCAGGAGGGUUAUUCCCUGGUUGAAUUUGUUCUCUGAUGUUAAAAGGGAUAGCUGCUAAUUGCCUCUAAGGAGGACUCAGAAACAGAAAUGGGAGCUGGACAGUAACUCCCUGCCCAUGCACACACACACAGAUAAGUGUGCUAAUCUUUUGGGGGAGUGUGGUAUGUGAGGAGCAAGUGCAGGUCAAGCUAUGCAGGGGCUUGGAGUGUGAUACACAACCACUGAUGAAAAAUGUUUCUGCAUGCUCAUUUGUUUUGUAACAUUGAUAUUGACUGUGUAAAAGAAAUCUAGUAUAUUGACCUGAUUUAUUCAGAUCAGUUCUUCAAAUCAGUGAAGUGGCAUGGAUACCAGAUCAUUCCUGCAGUUCCUACAAUGUUCUGACCAGGCUCACAUUUGAAGCUUUUGCCUUUUUACAGUGUGCAUCUCCUGACCUUCAGGUACACUGCCCUGAAUGCACUGCCUUUGUGUGCUAUGAUGAUGGAGGCAGAAAAUUACCCUGAAGUUUAGCAGGCUUGGUUCACUGCUCAGCAGAGUUGGUGGAUGAUUUUCCAUUAGCUUCAAAAGUAAAGGAGCAGGGCAAAACAACUAACCCGAGUUGUUAUAAUCCUGUUUGUAGGCAAAGGAAAAUAUAGAGUGAUGCCAGCGAAGUAUCUGAAUUGGAAUGAUAAAGGCAAAUCUGGAACACCUUUGUAACUGUUACCUAGAACGUUAAAGGUUACGUAAAUAAGACUGACUUUUAAAAUGAUUUCUUAUAAAAGCUCUGCAAAAUAUCCACAAUGCCAUUUGCAAUUGUACCGCCAUAUUAGUGUGUGGUAUGAGUUCACUGCACAUUUCCCAGGUGGCAAGCAGUGACUGUGGAGCAAGUUUUGAUCUGAUACCAGGAGAAACUCGGUCUUGAUCUGAAACUUGUCAAGUUUAGGAUGAGUCAGUGUGGACUUGAACAUGAUCUCUGUAAUCAAAAUCAACAUAAUCCUUGCGAAUGAAAAAUGUGAUCAGCAACUGCAUGCUAACAGCACCUAGGGCAAGUCUUCUGGACCCGCUGGAAAGCAACCAUGGCCAGAGAAAAGUGUUUUGUGCUGGCCCCAUAGAACCUGUGGUCAGGCAGCUUAUCAUUAAGUCUCCCCCUUACCAAAACAUUGUCCCCAGGCAGAAACAGCUUUUCUGUUAGGUAAGUGUCUGACAAGGUGUUUUUGCUUGCUGAGGAGUUGAGCGUGACCUAAUUAAAGGUGAUCUAGCGGUGCAGAGUUCCCACUUGAUUUUGUUCUUCCCACAGGCUGGUAUUUUGCAACCCAAGACUUCAGCUCAAAUCCAUUGUGCAGAAAUAGUUUUGAACAUAAGGCAAGGCAGGGGAAAACAAUUUUUUCAUUAACACACCUGAGCUGUCAGAGAUUCUGUUCCCUCUGUUGAGGACGAUGAAAUUGCCAAUCCCAAAUGCUCCCUGCCCUUCUCUGAGAGAUAAGUGACUUCAUCAACACGAGCAGAACAAACAAAGAGCUCCGAACCAAGAUCUUGGCAGGUUCAAACCUUCCCAGUCCAAGAUGAGAAAACAAGGAAACACUUAGAGCAGUGACAGCAUCUGAGCCUUUUAACAAAUGAAAGGACCUACAGGCUAACGAUAAAGGCUUUAGAGCCAAUCGGCCAAGCUCAUCCCUGCUUUAAACCUGUUAUUCUUCCAAUUCAAACAACAGAAAAGGGGCAAACAAGAGAAAUCCUUGGUAGCAAAUGUGAUUAGAUGAAGCAAACAGUAAGAGCUCUGCAGUAAGUGCAGUUCAUCACACAAUUAGUUCCUUCCCAGCUUCACCAUCCAGACAUCCCUUCUCUGGCACAGUGCCAGCCAGGCAGUCAGGACUGAGCUGGGGGAUUAGAAAGUCAUGGUAGAUAUUUUUCUUAAAUUUGAGGGGGAGGGGGAAAGAGAAAAAAGGGAUUUCAGUGCUAUCAUUUCAAUAUUUAUUUUCUCUUCUAUAAUUUUAGAAAGCAUAGAGAGAACAGAGCUAUAAACAAUAUCAUUUAAAACAUGGGCCACAUUACUGCAGGUGCUUAUGAAACAGAAGCAGAGGUGACGUUUUAUGUAAUAUAUGUCUGUUCAGUUGGAGCAUUGGUUUGUUCUGGCUUUUUCUGUUUUUCUUUUUUAGGCAGUUGGAGUAGAGGAAUGAAAAUUAACCAGCGUUUCUCAAAAACAGUGGUUUGAUCAAAAAACAAGGUAUGUUUUAACUUAGUACAAAAGAAGAUCAUCUGAGGAGUAAGGUGCCUGAUGGGGAAGAAGAGAUGCUUGUGUCCAGUUUCCAUGAUCCUGCUGACACUGGAGAUACCUGCUGUACAGGCUUUUUUACCUCACCUUGUUUGGUAUGUCCAAGCUCCCCAUUCCAUGACAGAGCCAAGCAGCUUCAGCCAGGCAUGAGGACCUUCGUACAUGAAAAGCAGUGAAGAGCCAUAUCCCUAAAGCAUGCAACUCUUGUAUAUGACAAAAGAUAAUGGGUGGAUACCAAGAAUUGAAGGUAACAGAAAGAAAGAGAGGACAUAUUUCCACAGCUUGGCAAAAGCAGUCUCCAAAGUCCUCAAACAGCUGUGGAAAAAUAGUGAAAGGAGAGCAAAUAGCCUGUUUGUCCUCUAUCUCAUGGACACAGUGCCUUGUGAGCCCUGGAGGGUAUCUGCUCAUAUCCAAGCUGUGAAAGCAGUUGCUGUGCCUGCCACAUCACAGCUUCAUAGACACACCAAUGCUUGCAGUACAGUCAAAAUAUGCUUUAAAGCCCAUUUCAGCAGCAAGCUCUCUGGAUUCUGUGCCAGGAAAUGUUAAUUACUGUGGUGCAGUGUUCUGUUUUCUGUGGUGCAAUAACAAUUAAUUUACACCAUUUGGAAAAACACUUUUUUAUUAAAAAUCAAUAGAAGCAAAUCAAUGCAAUGUAAAGCAUACAAUACCAAAAUGAAAAGCUCUUGUUUUUAUACUUGGGCAUCCUUAAUAAAAUUGCACUGUAGAUUCAGGCAGUUUGUCUAUUGUAAUCUAAUGAGAAGCUGUCAAGCUUCUUUUAAGCGUUCUGGAAAUUACCAUGUAUUGGGGCAGCCAUUUUUAGUCAAAGAAUUCAAUAAUUAACCCCCAAGUUGUAAGUCAAUAUGAUGAUGGUGCAGGUGCCGCUGCAUUUGUCUCUCUGCACUGCAUCACCUAUGCACCUGACAAUCUGUGGGACCCAUUUUGAAUCGAGAUGGAGGUUAAUUUUUAUUUAUAGUUAUAAUUAGAAAAACACUAGCUGUAAUGAAAACUGCUCCACCGCUGGAACAUAUCACCACAGAGUAAAUUCCACAGCAAUUUUUGCAUUUUAAUAGGUCAGAGAGUAACACAAAUGAAUUGCUUCUUCCUGGGGGAACUUGUUUAUUCUUUGGAAUUUAAUGAUUUACUGGAACACUGAUCUCAAAGAAAAAAAUCCCACAGUUGUUUUUCUACCAUUGCCUCAACUGCACAAGGUGCUGCAGACCCUGGGAAGGCAGCUCACACCUGUAAUUGUACAGCUCCUGAGGCUCCCCUGCACAAGGUACUGGGGCCUACCUGCCAGCUCCUCAGCACCCUGCUGCACAUGGCACAGGAGCUCAGGGACUUCUCCAGGAUGAUACAGCUCCACCACAGAAGUGCUCCCUCAGCCCACAGCAGGAUGCAUCCAGCUGCUACAGUAAGGAAUGCUUUACCCUUUAGGCACAAGCUGCUGUUCCCCUCCCCAUGGUCCACCGCCAUGGUCUGCACAUUUAUGAGUGCAGCCACAACUACAGCUGGUCUUCUCUGACUCAACCAGAGCAGGAAGAAGCAGGACAAUUUUAAUCCAAUGGAAGCACUCAUGGAAGCAGCCAAGGACAUAUCACUCUGGAAGGGCAGAUCAUCAUUUCCUUUCUCCAGACAGGACUACUAUGGGUUUGAGUUUGACUAUUUUAACGGUGAAUUGAUUUUUUGUGUGAAGUGAUCUAGGUAUGACAGUAGAUUUUUCAAAGUCAUUCGGUAGCUCAUGACAGUGGGCUGGGAGGACAGGUGUCAUCAAAUAAAAAGGUAUGAACUGGACUAAUUUAAAAGGAACGCAGAGGUUGUACAGAACUGCCAGAAACUCCAUCGCUUUGGUACAGCGAUGCAAGGAAAAUAGAAACAGUAACAAAAGAAGACUUUGAAAUUCAAAGUUUUACAAAACAGGAUAUUUGAUUUGGAUUGUAUCUAGAAAUUGCAAAAGCUUGGCAAAGCAUCACUGAGGUACUGCAAAAUAUUUGUAAUCUGCAUAAUCUUUAUAUGCCACAGUCUUUCCCUCUACUGUGGGAGCUGUGAUGUAACCAUGAAUUUGUUAUUGGGGUGGCUGACACUAAUGUUCUUACAUAUUAAAAAAAAAAAAAAAA